UUAUCAAAACAGCGGACUUCGGUCCUUGCUGCACCCUUGUCUUUUGCGUACCGUAUGUUUCCUCGGCGGGCUUGCCUGCCGGUUGGACAUUAUCAAACCUUUUUGUAGUUGCAAUCAGCGUCAGAAAAUAAACAAUAAUUACAACUUUCAACAACGGAUCUCUUGGUUCUGGCAUCGAUGAAUAACGCAGCGAAAUGCGAAAAGUAGUGUGAAUUGCAGAAUUCAGUGAAUCAUCGAAUCUUUGAACGCACAUUGCGCCCCUUGGUAUUCCAUGGGGCAUGCCUGUUCGAGCGUCAUUUUGUACCCUCAAGCACUGCUUGGUGUUGGGCGUUUGUCCUGCAAAGGACUCGCCUGAAAGCGAUUGGCGGCCAACGUACUGGUGGUAGAGCGCAGCACAAUUUGCGUCUCUCCCUUCUACGUUAGCGUCCAUGAAGCCUUUUUCAAACGUUUGACCUCGGAUCAGGUAGGGAUACCCGCUGAACUUAAGCAUAUCAAUAAGCGGAGGAAAAGAAACCAACAGGGAUUGCCCUA
RNAcentral lists this ribosomal RNA (531 nucleotides) under fungal sp. RNAcentral's name for it is "eukaryotic LSU rRNA". The stretch from base 143 to 296 matches the Rfam family "5.8S ribosomal RNA". The record is from RNAcentral. Lineage: Eukaryota; Fungi.